UGGGGAAUAUUGGACAAUGGGCGCAAGCCUGAUCCAGCCAUGCCGCGUGAGUGAUGAAGGCCCUAGGGUUGUAAAGCUCUUUUGUGCGGGAAGAUAAUGACGGUACCGCAAGAAUAAGCACCGGCUAACUUCGUGCCAGCAGCCGCGGUAAUACGAAGGGUGCAAGCGUUACUCGGAAUUACUGGGCGUAAAGCGUGCGUAGGCGGUUCGUUAAGUCCGUUGUGAAAGCCCUGGGCUCAACCUGGGAAUUGCAGUGGAUACUGGCGAGCUGGAGUACGGUAGAGGAUGGUGGAAUUCCCAGUGUAGCGGUGAAAUGCGUAGAGAUCGGGAGGAACACCCGUGGCGAAGGCGGCCAUCUGGACGAGUACUGACGCUGAGGCACGAAAGCGUGG
Molecule: ribosomal RNA, 392 nt
Filed under: uncultured bacterium
Lineage: Bacteria
Description: bacterial SSU rRNA
Rfam family: Bacterial small subunit ribosomal RNA
Source: RNAcentral